CGCAGAGUGACCGACCUUCGGGUCGGGUAAUGCGGACGGUCAGACGGUCACAAUCCCAA
This 59-nucleotide non-coding RNA is filed under the name unclassified sequences. The record is from RNAcentral.